Drosophila subobscura is the source of this 293-nucleotide long non-coding RNA. RefSeq lists it as uncharacterized. Lineage: Eukaryota; Metazoa; Arthropoda; Insecta; Diptera; Drosophilidae. The record is from RefSeq and is a predicted model, not a curated record. The transcript has 2 exons.
UCCAUUCGUUUCGCUAUUGCAAAGUCGAAUGUUAAUUGAAGAGUUAUCUCCACAGUUUGAAACAGAACUUUCCACCAUGAACUACACUUCACUGCUCUUCCUUUGCUGAAGCAUUUGUCUCUGGCACUGCAAUGUUGCCAUAAUUGAAAAGAUUCCAAUAGUUGGAGGCUUACUCGACAAAGCCAAGCAGACAAUAGGGUAAUAAAACCUUAUAGAAUCCAAACAUAUUUGUACUUAAAGUGCACUGUUAAUAUGUGGAAAUUUAUCUACUUAAUAAAUAAUGCAAAAUAAAA